This 2723-nucleotide small RNA is filed under the name Pan troglodytes (chimpanzee). Its description in RNAcentral is "retained intron". Lineage: Eukaryota; Metazoa; Chordata; Mammalia; Primates; Hominidae. The record is from RNAcentral.
UUGCUGCCAUUAAUGUGUCUCUUUCUCUUUUUUAUUCUUUGACCUAGGGAAGAUUUAGGAUUCAGAUUUAUAUCGGAACAGGUCAGUCACCACCCCCCCAUCAGUGCGUUCCACUCGGAAGGUCUCAACCAUGACUUCCUGUUCCACGGCUCCAUCUACCCCAAGCUCAAGUUCUGGGGCAAAAGCGUGGAGGCGGAGCCCCGAGGCACCAUCACCCUGGAGCUGCUCAAGUGAGUGUCGACAUAAUGAAGCCUACACCUGGACCAACCCCACCUGCUGCGUCCACAACGUCAUCAUCGGGAAGCUGUGGAUAGAGCAGUAUGGGACAGUGGAGAUUUUAAACCACAGAACCGGACAUAAGUGUGUGCUUCACUUUAAACCGUGUGGAUUAUUUGGAAAAGAACUUCACAAGGUGGAAGGACACAUUCAAGACAAAAACAAAAAGAAGCUCUUUAUGAUCUAUGGCAAAUGGACGGAAUGUUUGUGGGGCAUAGAUCCUGUUUCGUAUGAAUCCUUCAAGAAGCAGGAGAGGAGAGGUGACCACCUGAGAAAGGCCAAGCUGGUAAGGGCUGGGGCGUCCCCAGGCAGAGCUGAGCCCUGGGUGCUGAGGGCUGCCAGGCCACUGCUGCCUUUAGCUCACCUGUUGGGGUCCCAGGGAACCUUUGGGCCCCACCAGGAGAGAUGAAUGUGCAGAAUUUGUCUGGCCAGAUGAACCAUGUAUUGUGGGUUCCAGUAUCAGUGAGGGGGUUUAUCUGUAUUUCUUUCCAUUUUUUUUUUUUCCCCUCCAGGCAGGGUCUCCCUCUGUUGCCCAGGCUGGAGUGCAGUGGUGCAGUCGUAACUCACUGCAACCUCCAGCUACCAGGCUCAAGCAAUCCUCCCUCCUUAGCCUCCCAAGUGGCUAGGACUAUAGGCAUGUACCACCAUGCCUGACUAAUUUUUAUUUUUUUGUAGAGAUGGGGUCUUGCUAUGUUGCCCAGGCUGGUCUUGAACUCCUGGGCUUAAGCAGUCCUCCCACCUCGGCCUCCCAAAGUGCUGGGAUUACUAAUAGGCAUGAACCACAACACCCAGUCGGCUUAUCUGUAUUUUGGUUGCACGGAGGCUGCUGCUAUAAACCGUGGGCACCAGUGCCCACGAGUCAUACAUAAUUGCUGGCCCCCAUGGCUGGAAGUAUCUGAGGGAACCUCAGGCAAGGCUGUUUCUUUUCUGGAAGCUCCAAGUUCUGGGUCCUUCUUAAUAAAUCUUCUCGCUUUCUUUGAGUUAGCCUAGACAUAUUGUUAAAAAUCAAGUGAAUUUCAAUUUUUUGUUUUUAGUUGUGAGUACCAGAUAAUAUAUUCAACAGCCAGAAAGUACUGGCAAGGCUUUUCCCCUUAGAGCUUUGGAAUACUCAUUAUCUUAAGACUAGUUGUUCUUGAACUUAAAAAUAAAAGGGAUAGUUCAAAAGAGGUGUCCUAUUUUCUACAUAAUGAAUUGGAAUGUACCAAACCUGAAAUGUUCAAUAUUUAUUUAACGGAAACAUUCAGCCUCCUCCGGAUCCCAAGUGUUUUUUAUGUUGUAGUAUUGAUUUGUGCUGUUAGACACCUUUUCUAAUCACCCUCUUUUAUUUAAAAAGGAAAAUUCUGCUUACACACUAGACAGACCUAGAAGGGUAAAUCCAUUUAGCGAUGUCUUUUGAUGCUUUCCUGCUCCUUGAGGUGACCUAGAAACGGGAGUUCUCUGUGAAUCCUUGUCCUUGAGCUGCGGCUCUCCCUCGUCCCAGCCUCGGGCCGUGGUGCCUACAGCCAGUGUGAAUACAGCUAGUGCAGGAAGCCCUGGGCUUUGACUCGCUUGUUUUCAGUGGUCUCCCUGAACAGCUGCUUCUGGAAUCAUUCCCUUUUCUAGGACCUAUUUAUUUUGAGAAGCAAUGUGGCAGGUUUUGUCUUUUCAUCAGGGUGUAGAGAGCCUGAAACCCCCACACAGGAGCCACUUCUUGAUGGGGGCAAAGCUGCGCUAUCUAGAAAGCUCUCAGUCCCAGAACCUGCCUUCUGGAGAGGCGCCGUGUGUGUGAAUGAACCUGCUGUUUGGAAGGCACCGCUGUGUCGUCGCACUCAGACUCCAUGAAGCGCUGUUUCGCGUGCACCGCUUCUCCCGAAGGGAAACACGCCUGGCCACUGACUUCCUUCAUCUCCAUGAAGGGAAACGCCUGGCCACUGACUUCCUUCGUCUCUGCGAAGGGAGACGCCUGGCCACUGACCUCUUGUCGUCACCCGAAGGGAAACACGCCUGGCCGCUGACCUCUGUCGUCUCCGCUCUGGGUGUCCGUUAGAACAGACAGCACAGCCCCACGAAGGGAGUGUGAGCUGCUUUAGGGACUGGGGCCCAGCUCCUCUCCGUACAGUGAUGGACAGACAGUGUCAUAGACUGGAGAGGAAAUUCGAUUUUCUCCUUAGUUUAAGAAAAAAAAGGCCGGGUGUGGUGGCUUACACCUGUAAUCUCAGCACUUUGGGAGGCCGAGGUGGGUGGAUUGCCUGAGGUCAGGAUUUCAAGACCAGCCUGGCUAACAUAGUGAAACCCCGUCUCUACUAAAAGUACAAACAAUUAGCCGGGCAUGGUAUUGGGCGCCUGUAAUUCCAGCUACUCGGGAGGCUGAGGCAGGAGAAUCUCUUGAACUCAGGAGGCAGAGGUUGCGGUGACCCGAGAUCGCACCACUGCACUCCAGCCUGGGCCACAGAGCGAGACUCCGUCUG